GCUUACCAUGCAGUCGAGCGAAGCGCUUUACUUAGAAUUCUUCGGAAGGAAGAGUUUUGCGACUGAGCGGCGGACGGGUGAGUAACGCGUGGAUAACCUGCCUCAUACAGGGGGAUAACAGUCAGAAAUGGCUGCUAAUACCGCAUAAGCCCACAGUGCUGCAUGGCACAGUGGGAAAAACUUAAGGUGGUAUGAGAUGGAUCCGCGUCUGAUUAGCUGGUUGGUAAGGUAACGGCUUACCAAGGCGACGAUCAGUAGCCGGCCUGAGAGGGCGACCGGCCACAUUGGGACUGAGACACGGCCCAAACUCCUACGGGAGGCAGCAGUGGGGAAUAUUGCACAAUGGGGGAAACCCUGAUGCAGCGACGCCGCGUGAAGGAUGAAGUAUUUCGGUAUGUAAACUUCUAUCAGCAGGGAAGAAAAUGACGGUACCUGACUAAGAAGCCCCGGCUAACUACGUGCCAGCAGCCGCGGUAAUACGUAGGGGGCAAGCGUUAUCCGGAUUUACUGGGUGUAAAGGGAGCGUAGACGGCUGUGCAAGUCUGAUGUGAAAACCCGGGGCUCAACCCCGGGACUGCAUUGGAAACUGUGCGGCUAGAGUGUCGGAGAGGUAAGUGGAAUUCCUAGUGUAGCGGUGAAAUGCGUAGAUAUUAGGAGGAACACCAGUGGCGAAGGCGGCUUACUGGACGAUGACUGACGUUGAGGCUCGAAAGCGUGGGGAGCAAACAGGAUUAGAUAC
RNAcentral lists this ribosomal RNA (739 nucleotides) under uncultured bacterium. Its description in RNAcentral is "bacterial SSU rRNA". It matches the Rfam family "Bacterial small subunit ribosomal RNA", at positions 46 to 785 of the family's 1533-position model. The record is from RNAcentral.